RNAcentral lists this transfer RNA (75 nucleotides) under Chloroflexota bacterium. RNAcentral describes it as "tRNA-Gly". It matches the Rfam family "tRNA". Rfam says of the family: Transfer RNA (tRNA) molecules are approximately 80 nucleotides in length. RNAcentral also lists the same sequence under 2 other names. Lineage: Bacteria; Bacillati; Chloroflexota. The record is from RNAcentral.
GCGGGAGUAACUCAGCGGUAGAGUCCCUGCCUUCCAAGCAGGUUGUCGCGGGUUCGAAUCCCGUCUCCCGCUCCA